GUGGGGAAUCUUAGACAAUGGGGGAAACCCUGAUCUAGCCAUGCCGCGUGAGCGAUGAAGGCCUUAGGGUUGUAAAGCUCUUUCAGCUGGGAAGAUAAUGACGGUACCAGCAGAAGAAGCCCCGGCUAACUCCGUGCCAGCAGCCGCGGUAAUACGGAGGGGGCUAGCGUUGUUCGGAAUUACUGGGCGUAAAGCGCGCGUAGGCGGACCAGAAAGUUGGAGGUGAAAUCCCAGGGCUCAACCUUGGAACUGCCUUCAAAACUGCUGGUCUGGAGUUCGAGAGAGGUGAGUGGAAUUCCGAGUGUAGAGGUGAAAUUCGUAGAUAUUCGGAGGAACACCAGUGGCGAAGGCGGCUCACUGGCUCGAUACUGACGCUGAGGUGCGAAAGCGUGGGGAGCAAACAGGAUUAGAUACCCCUGUAGUCC
Molecule: ribosomal RNA, 425 nt
Filed under: uncultured bacterium
Lineage: Bacteria
Description: partial 16S ribosomal RNA
Rfam family: Bacterial small subunit ribosomal RNA
Source: RNAcentral